AUUUUAACAAGGAAGGAGAAAGCUAAUUUGUGAACUUUAAAUGUGUACAGGACAUACUCCGGGAGGGACUAGCACGUCAUCACAACGCUGUGAGUAAUAGUACUUCGAUGCACCUUUAACCGUUCAUAAUUAUCGUUAUUGACGUUAUGAUUUUCGUCGUAAGAAUUAUGUUGACAUGUAUGCUAUGUAUGCUAUGUGAGAAACAUUGUGAAAUUAUGGAAACAUCAAAAGAGGUUGUGAAGUUAUGUAUGCCAUGUGAGAAACAUUGUGAAAUUAUGGAAACAUCAAAAGAGUUUGUAAAGUUAUGAACCUAUGUGGCCAAGGGCCAAUUGUGAAAUAUGAAAUGAUG
Camellia sinensis is the source of this 349-nucleotide non-coding RNA. Lineage: Eukaryota; Viridiplantae; Streptophyta; Magnoliopsida; Ericales; Theaceae. The record is from RefSeq and is a predicted model, not a curated record.